AGGUCCCGUAGCUCAGUUGGUUAGAGCGUUGGUCUUAUGAGCCGAAGGUCGCGGGUUCGAGCCCCGCCGGGACCACACCAAUGGUUUUAUUUUAAAAUUAAAAUUCUGUUUAGUAGAAAGAAAAAACGACGUAU
Molecule: non-coding RNA, 134 nt
Organism: Lupinus albus (white lupine)
Lineage: Eukaryota; Viridiplantae; Streptophyta; Magnoliopsida; Fabales; Fabaceae
Source: the annotation of a GenBank genome assembly